This 452-nucleotide ribosomal RNA is filed under the name cf. Caenogastropoda sp. DH-2009. RNAcentral describes it as "partial 16S ribosomal RNA". It matches the Rfam family "Bacterial large subunit ribosomal RNA", at positions 1926 to 2597 of the family's 2925-position model. Lineage: Eukaryota; Metazoa; Mollusca; Gastropoda. The record is from RNAcentral.
AACGGCCGCGGUACUCUGACCGUGCAAAGGUAGCAUAAUCAUUUGCCCUAUAAUUGGGGGCUAGUAUGAAUGGUUUGACAAGAGCAUUUCUGUCUCUAUAAAAUUCUAUAAAAUUUAAUUUUCAGCUGAAGAAGCCUGAAUUUAAUUAAAAGACAAGAAGACCCUAUCGAGCUUUAAAAAAAUUAACGGAUUAUAAAUAUAUUUAUAUAGUUAUAACCCUUAAAAAUUUUGGUUGGGGCGACUAAGGAACAAACAAAGCUUCUUAUUAAUAAAAAGUAAGCAGACUAUGAUCCAAAAGUUUUGAUUAAAGGAAUUAGUUACCGUAGGGAUAACAGCAUAAUUUUUUUUAAGAGUUCUUAUCGAAAAAAAGGUUUGUGACCUCGAUGUUGGACCAGAAUAUCCUGAAGAUGCAGCCGUCUUCGAGGGUUGGUCUGUUCGACCAUUAAAAUUCU